RNAcentral lists this long non-coding RNA (1554 nucleotides) under Salmo salar (Atlantic salmon). Its description in RNAcentral is "lncRNA (ENSSSAG00000101322.1)". The record is from RNAcentral. Lineage: Eukaryota; Metazoa; Chordata; Actinopteri; Salmoniformes; Salmonidae.
CUGGACUGAGUGGAUACAUCUCCAUGUGUGGAGGUACUGUCUCCACCACUAUCACUAGCAGGUCUACUGGACUGACUGGACACAUCUCCACCACUAUCAUUAACAGGUCUACUGGACUGAGUGGAUACAUCUCCAUGUGUGGAGGUACUGGCUCCACCACUAUCACUAGCAGGUCUACUGGACUGAGUGGAUACAUCUCCACCACUAUCACUAGCAGGCCUACUGGACUGAAUGGAUACAUCUCCACGUGUGGAGGUGCUGGCUCCACCACUAUCACUAGCAUGUCUACUUGACUGAGUGGAUACAUCUCCACGUGUGGAGGUGCUGGCUCCACCACUAUCACUAGCAGGCCUACUGGACUGAGUGGGUACUGGCUCCACCACUAUCACUAGCAGGUCUACUGGACUGACUGGACACAUCUCCACCACUAUCACUAGCAGGUCUACUGGACUGAGUGGAUACAUCUCCACCACUAUCACUAGCAGGUCUACUGGACUGAGUGGAUACAUCUCCACCACUAUCACUAGCAGGUCUACUGGACUGAGUGGAUACAUCCCCACCACUAUCACUAGCAGGUCUACUGGACUGAGUGGAUACAUCUCCACCACUAACACUAGCAGGUCUACUGGACUGAGUGGAUACAUCUCCACCACUAUCACUAGCAGGUCUACUGGACUGAGUGGAUACAUCUCCACCACUAUCACUAGCAGGUCUACUGGACUGAGUGGAUACAUCUCCACCACUAUCACUAGCAGGUCUACUGGACUGAGUGGAUACAUAUCCACCACUAUCACUAGCAGGCCUACUGGACUGAGUGGAUACAUCUCCAUGUGUGGAGGUACUGGCUCCACCACUAUCACUAGCAGGUCUACUGGACUGAGUGGAUACAUCUCCACCACUAUCACUAGCAGGCCUACUGGACUGAGUGGAUACAUCUCCACGUGUGGAGGUGCUGGCUCCACCACUAUCACUAGCAUGUCUACUUGACUGAGUGGAUACAUCUCCACGUGUGGAGGUGCUGGCUCCACCACUAUCACUAGCAGGCCUACUGGACUGAGUGGGUACUGGCUCCACCACUAUCACUAGCAGGUCUACUGGACUGACUGGACACAUCUCCACCACUAUCACUAGCAGGUCUACUGGACUGAGUGGAUACAUCUCCACCACUAUCACUAGCAGGUCUACUGGACUGAGUGGAUACAUCUCCACCACUAUCACUAGCAGGUCUACUGGACUGAGUGGAUACAUCCCCACCACUAUCACUAGCAGGUCUACUGGACUGAGUGGAUACAUCUCCACCACUAACACUAGCAGGUCUACUGGACUGAGUGGAUACAUCUCCACCACUAUCACUAGCAGGUCUACUGGACUGAGUGGAUACAUCUCCACCACUAUCACUAGCAGGUCUACUGGACUGAGUGGAUACAUCUCCACCACUAUCACUAGCAGGUCUACUGGACUGAGUGGAUACAUAUCCACCACUAUCACUAGCAGGCCUACUGGACUGAGUGGAUACAUCUCCAUGUGUGGAGGUACUGGCUCCACCACUAUCAC